CACUCCUACGGGAGGCAGCAGUGGGGAAUUUUGGACAAUGGGCGAAAGCCUGAUCCAGCAAUGCCGCGUGAGUGAAGAAGGCCUUCGGGUUGUAAAGCUCUUUUGUCAGGGAAGAAACGGUGAAAGCUAAUAUCUUUUGCUAAUGACGGUACCUGAAGAAUAAGCACCGGCUAACUACGUGCCAGCAGCCGCGGUAAUACGUAGGGUGCAAGCGUUAAUCGGAAUUACUGGGCGUAAAGCGUGCGCAGGCGGUUUUGUAAGUCUGAUGUGAAAUCCCCGGGCUCAACCUGGGAAUUGCAUUGGAGACUGCAAGGCUAGAAUCUGGCAGAGGGGGGUAGAAUUCCACGUGUAGCAGUGAAAUGCGUAGAUAUGUGGAGGAACACCGAUGGCGAAGGCAGCCCCCUGGGUCAAGAUUGACGCUCAUGCACGAAAGCGUGGGGAGCAAACAGGAUUAGAUACCCGUGUAGUCC
This 470-nucleotide ribosomal RNA is filed under the name uncultured organism. Its description in RNAcentral is "partial 16S ribosomal RNA". It matches the Rfam family "Bacterial small subunit ribosomal RNA", at positions 334 to 796 of the family's 1533-position model. The record is from RNAcentral.